AUGAUAGAGCGCUUCCAGGGCGAAGAUAAGAUCUACCACAGUUUUGAUAGUGUAGAGGAUGAUCCACACGGCUACUAUGCCCCCGAAUUCCUUAAUAACCUGACUCCCAACGGGCUGCCUCCGCAUGCACUCAAACUAAAGAUAAAUUGCCCCGUUAUACUAUUGAGAAACAUUGAUCCAGCUAAUGGGUUGUGUAACGGCACAAGGCUUGUGGUCCGGGGUUUUCAGAGGAACGCCAUUGAUGCAGAAAUCGUGCUAGGACAACAUGCUGGUAGGAGGGUGUUCCUUCCUCGGAUACCUCUCUGCCCAUCCGAUGACGAUAUAUUCCCUUUCAAGUUCAAGAGGAAGCAGUUCCCUAUUAGGCUCAGCUUUGCCAUGACAAUCAACAAGGCGCAAGGGCAGACCAUCCCAAUUGUCGGGGUGUACCUACCGGACCCGGUUUUCUCUCACUGUCAGCUCUACGUCGCAUUGUCUAGAGCCACAGUGAAGAGGAACAUUAAGAUUCUCGCCAUCAAGGACAAUGGCAAGGGUAAGGGCAAGGGUAAGGAAGAAAGCAAGAAUUCAAAGAAGCGAACAAGAUCUGAGCCCUUAUUAACGACCAUGAAGAACAUAGUGUACAAGGAAGUCCUUAGCACAUGA
This 639-nucleotide ribosomal RNA is filed under the name Triticum aestivum (bread wheat). Its description in RNAcentral is "partial small subunit ribosomal RNA". The record is from RNAcentral. Lineage: Eukaryota; Viridiplantae; Streptophyta; Magnoliopsida; Poales; Poaceae.